RNAcentral lists this transfer RNA (71 nucleotides) under Marmota monax (woodchuck). RNAcentral's name for it is "tRNA.Ala". Lineage: Eukaryota; Metazoa; Chordata; Mammalia; Rodentia; Sciuridae. The record is from RNAcentral.
AAGGAAAACAGGCUGGGUUUGAAGAUGGAAGAGGGGGUCUUGGAGAUGAGCAUGAGGUGGCCUCUAGAAGC